This 492-nucleotide ribosomal RNA is filed under the name uncultured bacterium. Its description in RNAcentral is "partial 16S ribosomal RNA". It matches the Rfam family "Bacterial small subunit ribosomal RNA", at positions 29 to 507 of the family's 1533-position model. The record is from RNAcentral.
AGUGAACGCUGGCGGUAGGCCUAACACAUGCAAGUCGAACGGAAACACAGUAAGAGCUUGCUCUUACGGGUGGCGAGUGGCGGACGGGUGAGGAAUACAUCGCCAUCUACUUUUUCGUGGGGGAUAACGUAGGGAAACUUACGAUAAUACCGCAUACGACCUACGGGUGAAAGCAGGAGAUAUUCGGACCUUGCGCGAUUGAAUGAGCCGAUGUCGGAUUAGCUAGUUGGCGGGGUAAAGGCCCACCAAGGCGACGAUACGUAGCUGGUCUGAGAGGAUGAUCGGCCACACUGGAACUGAGACACGGUCCAGACUCCUACGGGAGGCAGCAGUGGGGAAUAUUGGGCAAUGGGCGCAAGCCUGAUCCAGCCACACCGCGUGGGUGAAGAAGGCCUUCGGGUUGUAAAGCCCUUUUGUUGGGAAAGAAAAGCAGCAGGUUAAUACCCCGCUGUUCUGACGGUACCCAAAGAAUAAGCACCGGCUAACUUCGUG